GUUGACCCUUGCUUUGCCAUUUUACAUGUACUAGCAGUAUUAGCUUGUUUUGGAUUUAAUUAAUCCCAAUAUUUAAAAUUAAAUUAAAAAAAAUGGUACAAGUUAUUUUCCAUUGCUUGCACGUAUUGUUCACUGAUCUCAUCAUAGCACGUCAUUUAGCUGGUAUUACAUUGCAUGUAGUUGCAUAGUGGUCGUCUUGUCAUCUCUAUUUCCAAUACAUUGACCAUGGAUCCAUCCCAAUUUGAUGCACUCACUAGACAAUUAGUGCAACUUGCCACUAGCCUAUCGACUGUCCAAUCAGAUAUAACUGCUACUCGUGAGGAGAGAAAGAACCUAGCUGCUAAGUUGAGCAAUUUUAAGCGAACCCCUCGUUUAACUGACACUAAUUCUGAAGCGUCUCAUAAUAGACAAUAUCAUCGUG
RNAcentral lists this long non-coding RNA (421 nucleotides) under Olea europaea subsp. europaea. The record is from RNAcentral. Lineage: Eukaryota; Viridiplantae; Streptophyta; Magnoliopsida; Lamiales; Oleaceae.